AACGAACGCUGGCGGCAUGCCUAACACAUGCAAGUCGAACGAGACCUUCGGGUCUAGUGGCGCACGGGUGCGUAACGCGUGGGAACCUGCCCUUAGGUUCGGAAUAACUCCCCGAAAGGGGUGCUAAUACCGGAUAAUGUCUUCGGACCAAAGAUUUAUCGCCUUUGGAUGGGCCCGCGUUGGAUUAGCUAGUUGGUAGGGUAAAAGCCUACCAAGGCGACGAUCCAUAGCUGGUCUGAGAGGAUGAUCAGCCACACUGGGACUGCGACCCGGCCCAGACUCCUACGGGAGGCAGCAGUGGGGAAUAUUGGACGCUGGGCGAAAGCCUGAUCCAGCAAUGCCGCGUGAGUGAUGAAGGCCUUAGGGUUGUAAAGCUCUUUUACCCGGGAUGAUAAUGACAGUACCGGGAGAAUAAGCACCGGCUAACUCCGUG
RNAcentral lists this ribosomal RNA (433 nucleotides) under uncultured bacterium. RNAcentral's name for it is "partial 16S ribosomal RNA". It matches the Rfam family "Bacterial small subunit ribosomal RNA", at positions 29 to 507 of the family's 1533-position model. The record is from RNAcentral.